GGGUCGGUGCCCGAGUGGUUAAAGGGGGCGGAUUGUAAAUCCGCUGCAGUUUGCUACGUUGGUUCGAAUCCAACUCGGCCCA
RNAcentral lists this transfer RNA (82 nucleotides) under Licmophora sp. RNAcentral's name for it is "tRNA-Tyr". It matches the Rfam family "tRNA". Rfam says of the family: Transfer RNA (tRNA) molecules are approximately 80 nucleotides in length. Their secondary structure includes four short double-helical elements and three loops (D, anti-codon, and T loops). Further hydrogen bonds mediate the characteristic L-shaped molecular structure. tRNAs have two regions of fundamental functional importance: the anti-codon, which is responsible for specific mRNA codon recognition, and the 3' end, to which the tRNAs corresponding amino acid is attached (by aminoacyl-tRNA synthetases). tRNAs cope with the degeneracy of the genetic code in two manners: having more than one tRNA (with a specific anti-codon) for a particular amino acid; and 'wobble' base-pairing, i.e. permitting non-standard base-pairing at the 3rd anti-codon position. The record is from RNAcentral. Lineage: Eukaryota; Bacillariophyta; Fragilariophyceae; Licmophorales; Licmophoraceae.